Long non-coding RNA from Helianthus annuus (common sunflower), 860 nucleotides. RefSeq lists it as uncharacterized. The record is from RefSeq and is a predicted model, not a curated record. NCBI's taxonomy places the organism in Eukaryota, Viridiplantae, Streptophyta, Magnoliopsida, Asterales, Asteraceae. The transcript has 5 exons.
ACUUUGGUGCCACUUGGCAUCCACUUAAAACACUUACUGCCACCUGUCAUCUCUUAAGGUUGCUGGCUUUGGAAAAUGGCGCUCAGAAUUUUGCUUUGCCUUCACCGUUCUCUUUUUCCAUUUUCUCAUCACUUUUCCUUUUCCCUUUCCAAAACCCUAAAUUCAACCAUGGCCGCAUACCUCUUUCCACCAUGACAAUCUUCGAUCUGAAUAUUUAUAUCCAUUAUUCUGGCCGUUCACUCCAUUUCGCAAUGAAUCAAGACUUGAUAACCACAAAGAAUUGCAUCAACAAUCGUCAAGAAUCAACAUAAUCCAUGUUAAUCAUCGAUUCUUGCUUCCAAUUUCUUAUUAUAGAGGAUCUGCCAUAUAAUUUCAAGGUUGUGGUUAGUUGUGGAUGAUGGAGGCGGCGAUGGUGAUUAAGAUGGAACUGUGCUUCUGAAGAAGGAAUGUGAUGAUGUGCCAUUUGAGUUCAAAAAAGAUGAAGGUGAGUGCCAUAUAGGUAAGUUGUCAUAGUAAUAUCGAAUCUUUGAUGGAGCUUAUAUCAUAAUCUGGAACAGUUAAUUGUUAUAGAAUAAGAGAGUUGGUGGUCGGGUUGAUUCUAGAGACGAAAAAUAAUAUCAAUGGUUCUGAACUUUCUACUCUACUUGCUAGCCAUAUGGAUGUGGACAAGGUAAGUUUCGGGCUAUGGCCCAACUGGUGCAGCUCUUGCUAGCCAUAUGGAUGUGGACAAGGAUGAUAUGCUGAUAGCUCAAGAUGAGAUAUUUGGUCCUGUUCAAACCAUCUUGAAAUUCAAGGAGGUUGAUGAAGAGAUACAAAGGGCCAAUGCGACGCGAUAUGGACUUGCAUCGGGUGUUUUCACC